Neodiprion virginianus is the source of this 772-nucleotide long non-coding RNA. RefSeq lists it as uncharacterized. The transcript is spliced from 4 exons. NCBI's taxonomy places the organism in Eukaryota, Metazoa, Arthropoda, Insecta, Hymenoptera, Diprionidae. The record is from RefSeq and is a predicted model, not a curated record.
UGCGGCUGUACAGAGAGUAUUUAACUAUCGAAUUGACUGCAAGAUGAUACGAAGCCUAGACUUCAUUACGCCAUGUAAUUUGUAAUGUUUGUCGUAUUUGCUAAUGUCGAGAUGUAGUAAAAAAGACGAUAAAAAUCACGCCUAGAACUCGCUUGCAGAUUUUACAGUCGGGAUGUGUUAUUAUUAUAACGGAUUAAGCGCGUUUUGUGUUUAAAAUCCUGACAUCAAACUACUACCAAGCUUUCUUCGAGCCGAAAAAAUCCGCCGCUUCGAUACUUGUGUGUAAGCUUGAAAGAGGUAAAAUAAGGUUUUUUAAAAACUGCGGAUCACAGGAGCGUCGGUUGUAAAAUAUACAUGAUCGCUGCGAUACGUUAUGCAAUUGGUGUGGAUCACGUGUCGCAAUCGCUGAAUUGAAUUUGCAGUCGCACGGGGUAGAGAUAAUCUCAAGGAAAAUGCUGAUGCUGAACGAUGAAAGGCGGAGAAAGAAAACACGGACAAUUCGCAUCAUGUUUCCACGAGUCCAGCUCAGAGUUGUGCAUGAUACUUAUAAUUGUCAGUUACUCUGGCCAAUAUGGUAAAGCGUUGACUGAAGAAUAUAAAGACGGAUACCUUUGUCUGGUGGGCCUGGGAGCAUAGGAGGGUUCUGCUUUAUCGACUCUACGUAACGAGCAUGCAGCCGCCACGGAGUAGCAGCCAAAGUAGCGUCGGUAUGGAAGCUUGAGAUUAAUUACAUAAGCCGAGGUGGUUAGCGGUGGUCGUUGGAGGUGGUUGG